RNAcentral lists this ribosomal RNA (253 nucleotides) under uncultured bacterium. RNAcentral describes it as "partial 16S ribosomal RNA". It matches the Rfam family "Bacterial small subunit ribosomal RNA", at positions 524 to 776 of the family's 1533-position model. The record is from RNAcentral.
UACGGAGGGGGCUAGCGUUGUUCGGAAUUACUGGGCGUAAAGCGCACGUAGGCGGCUUUGUAAGUUAGAGGUGAAAGCCCGGGGCUCAACUUCGGAAUUGCCUUUAAGACUGCAUCGCUAGAAUUGUGGAGAGGUAAGUGGAAUUCCGAGUGUAGAGGUGAAAUUCGUAGAUAUUAGGAAGAACACCAGUGGCGAAGGCGGCUCACUGGCCCGGUACUGACGCUGAGGCGCGAAAGCGUGGGGAGCAAACAGG